This 500-nucleotide ribosomal RNA is filed under the name uncultured bacterium. Its description in RNAcentral is "partial 16S ribosomal RNA". It matches the Rfam family "Bacterial small subunit ribosomal RNA", at positions 30 to 523 of the family's 1533-position model. The record is from RNAcentral.
AUUGAACGCUGGCGGCAUGCCUUACACAUGCAAGUCGAACGGCAGCACGGGAGCAAUCCUGGUGGCGAGUGGCGAACGGGUGAGUAAUAUAUCGGAACGUGCCCAGUCGUGGGGGAUAACGCAGCGAAAGCUGUGCUAAUACCGCAUACGAUCUAAGGAUGAAAGCGGGGGAUCGCAAGACCUCGCGCGAUUGGAGCGGACGAUAUCAGAUUAGCUAGUUGGUGGGGUAAAGGCCCACCAAGGCGACGAUCAGUAGCUGGUCUGAGAGGACGACCAGCCACACUGGAACUGAGACACGGUCCAGACUCCUACGGGAGGCAGCAGUGGGGAAUUUUGGACAAUGGGCGCAAGCCUGAUCCAGCAAUGCCGCGUGCAGGAUGAAGGCCUUCGGGUUGUAAGCUGCUUUUGUACGGAACGAAACGGCCCUUUCUAAUACAGGGGGCUAAUGACGGUACCGUAAGAAUAAGCACCGGCUAACUACGUGCCAGCAGCCGCAGUAA